RNAcentral lists this unclassified non-coding RNA (403 nucleotides) under soil metagenome. RNAcentral's name for it is "partial contains 5.8S ribosomal RNA, internal transcribed spacer 2, and large subunit ribosomal RNA". The stretch from base 1 to 121 matches the Rfam family "5.8S ribosomal RNA", at positions 35 to 154 of the family's 154-position model. The record is from RNAcentral.
GAUGAAGAACGUAGCGAAAUGCGAUAAGUAAUGUGAAUUGCAGAAUUCAGUGAAUCAUCGAAUCUUUGAACGCACCUUGCGCCCUUUGGCUAUUCCAGAGGGCAUGCCUGUUUGAGUAUCAUGAACACCUCAACUCUCAUGGUUCUGCCAUGAUGAGCUUGGACUUUGGAGGUCUUGCUGGCCCCUGUGGUCAGCUCCUCUCAAAUGGAUCAGCUUGCCAGUGUUUGGUGGCAUCACAGGUGUGAUAACUAUCUACGCUUGUGGUUUUCCACCAGGUAACCUUCAGUGAUGGAGGUUCGCUGGAGCUCAUAAACGUCUCUCCUCAGCGAGGACAGCUUCUUGAAUGUUUGAUCUCAAAUCAGGUAGGGCUACCCGCUGAACUUAAGCAUAUCAAAGCGGAGGA